GCACUAUGGAUUAACAAUGACCUGAGACCAUGGAACUGGGGAGAGGACAAGGGCACUGUGAAUUAGCAAUGACCUGAGACCAUGGAACUGGGGAGAGGACAUGGGCCUCAUAUGGCUUCCUCGGGGUGCCCACACCAAAUACUUGGACUUCAUCUUUGAGGAUGAAAUUGCCCAACAGGACAAGGAUGAAGCAAUCAUGCACCAAAUCCGAACAAAACUAGCACAAUGGUUGAACAAAAAGCUCCCUUUUCUAUCUCAAGUGCUAGUAUUGAAUCAAGUAAUACUCAAGAACAUAUAGUACCUAGCAUCAUGCAACGACAUCCAAUAAAGGGUCCUAAUGAAGAUAAGAGCCUUCAUUCAGAACUUCAUAUGAUUGGGGGACUCGGACAGGAAGACGAGGGCUAGAGUAGCAUGAGACACCACAAUCAUCCUAACGGCCAAAGGAGAUAUAAAGAUAUUUGACCCAAUGGGCCAAAUAAGCCUCUCUUAGCCAAAAUGAUACCAAGAGCCCUAACUCUAGGAGAGGAGUCUUGGAAAUCCCUCAUACUACACAAGAUCCAAAAUACACAGCUCCGCAAAAACAAAAACUAAGGUAAACACGUGGAUUGGAUAUUCACGGCCCCCACAAUAUGGCCAUAAGACUCAAGCCUGUGGCGGGCAACAUGGACGACGUGGGCAACAGUCGAGAAGGAAUUUAUCAAAGUGUUCACGACCUCCCACACUAAAAAGAUGCGCCAACCUUUAUUUUUGAACACAGAAAAGAUUUUAGACGAUAAUGUCAGCCUAGGAGCAGAGGCCAACUCGAGAUUCUUCACAUGGUCCAUGAAUGAGGUCAAUCAAGUGGAAGACAUAUGAGAUGGCCACCGACACAAUUGGCAGAUCGAUCAAAUACUGAGACACAAGACACAAUCCAAGAAGAUUGAAACGCUUACACACAUUGCAUAUGAAUUGAUAAAGUGGAAUCUUACACAAUCCAAUCCCUCGAUUGACAAGAAAUAGGUAACGGUGGGCUGCGAGGCUCCGAUCUAUCACACAACAAGAAGCAAAUCCAAAAGAUGGAAGGCCUCGUGAUAUAUAAGAGCAAUCAGAACCAACCGACUCGACAAGACCAACAAUCAUAUUAUGGUACUCACAGAUGCAACAGAAGAAGCGAAGAUAUUCAUAAGAAACCAAUUGGGCAAGGUAGUAGAAUUCAACCCAACCGACCCCCUGGACAUGACUUAUACGACAUGAAUGUAGGGAAAAAGGCUCAUGAAAAGCCUCGAGAUUGACCCAAAGGAAUGGACGUGGUGCAAACGGGGCCUAAUACCAAUUGAAAAACUAUUCAACUACACAACAAAGAGAGAUUACAAAACCAUCCUAAUGCAACAAUGCAGAUAGAUGGAAUUCGAUAGGACUAUGGCAAGCCGAGGCUUCUCCUCAAUCCAACGAAUACAAUACUUUGCCAGACUUUGGCACCCCUGGCUCCCCCUCAAGAUAUCCGCCAUGGUGUGGCUCUUGAUUGCAGAAGGUCUCUCCAUCGGACAAUGAAGGCACAAAAUACAACAAGAUGGCUACUAUAGCCUUUGUACCAGCAGGAUCUUAAAAAUAGCAGAGCAUGCAUUCUUUGCGUGCUUGCAAGUCGUGCCGAUUUGGAAAAAAUAUGCGAUCGCCAAGAGACUCUCAAACCCAAUUACUUUGAAUACCACGUAGGAGACUGACCUCCACGACACCUUUUCAAUCCCCCCCCCCCCCAAAUGGAAACCGAUCCUCCGCCCCGAAUUCCUCCCCAGGGACCUAGCCAACUGACUCCAGACCAUCCCUACACCCACCGCAAGCCGGAUGCAAUUAUAAGAGGAACCCGGAAACGAAGCCUCAC
RNAcentral lists this long non-coding RNA (1858 nucleotides) under Physcomitrium patens. RNAcentral describes it as "long non-coding RNA (PPAT_LNC006746)". Lineage: Eukaryota; Viridiplantae; Streptophyta; Bryopsida; Funariales; Funariaceae. The record is from RNAcentral.